AUACGGAGGGGACUAGCGUUGUUCGGAAUUACUGGGCGUAAAGCGUACGUAGGCGGAUCAGAAAGUACGGGGUGAAAUCCCAGGGCUCAACCCUGGAACUGCCUCAUAAACUCCUGGUCUUGAGUUCGAGAGAGGUGAGUGGAAUUCCGAGUGUAGAGGUGAAAUUCGUAGAUAUUCGGAGGAACACCAGUGGCGAAGGCGGCUCACUGGCUCGAUACUGACGCUGAGGUACGAAAGUGUGGGGAGCAAACAGGAUUAGAAACCCCAGUAGUCC
Molecule: ribosomal RNA, 274 nt
Filed under: uncultured bacterium
Lineage: Bacteria
Description: partial 16S ribosomal RNA
Rfam family: Bacterial small subunit ribosomal RNA
Source: RNAcentral